RNAcentral lists this long non-coding RNA (6869 nucleotides) under Homo sapiens (human). Its description in RNAcentral is "non-protein coding LINC01124:13". Lineage: Eukaryota; Metazoa; Chordata; Mammalia; Primates; Hominidae. The record is from RNAcentral.
ACACACCCUCGGAUUGACGUGCGCACGCGCACCGGUUACCUUCAGGAGCGCCGAAGAAGGAAAGAAGACUGCCAGCUCCGUGACAGCAAGAACCUUGUAUGACUUUUUCAUGAUGGAUGUUCAUCUGUGCCAUCUGUAAAUAUUGAAUAAAUAUUUGUGGAAUACAUGAAUCUAAAAGUGAAUGGAAUGAUAAAGAGGGAAAGGGUCAUGACAUCUACUACAGCAUUUGGCACAGACCCAGGUUUCCCUGGUACUGGUAAUUCCCAGCAGCUUUCUACAAUUCCAAAGCUGUCUGCAGUACUAUCAAGAGAUGACAUGGACUUCAAGGAUCAAACAGGGGAGAAAAAGGCUUAAAAGAAAAACAAGUCUCCAUCAAAGGUAAUAACCACAAUGAGAACUAUACAUAGCUAUGUGCUUAUAGGUCUUAGUUCACAUUCCCCUCAUUAAAAUUAUAGCUCAAGAAAUAAAGGGCUGUUUAAUGACUUGGGUAUAUAAAUAUACUUCAUUUGUAUAUUUUUUACUUGCUAAAAUCUAUCCAAAUUGGUAUUACCUCAAACCAUAAUCUUCUACUGUAUUUUAUAAUUUUACUUUAUUGCCAUGUAUUUUUCCCACUGAUGUUCACAAAUUCACAGGAAACAUCAGCCAUGUACUAAAUAAAAUAUGAAUUGAAUCGACAAAUAGAACUAUAAAUUUAAUUCAAGCACAUGUAAAAUUUAGACCAAAGAAUAAAAAUGUCUAUUAAAAAUACAGCCAAGCAUGGUGGCUCACACCUGUAAUCCCAGCACUUUGGGAGGCCGAGGUGGGUGAAUCAUCUGAGGUCAAGAGUUUGAGACCAGCUGGCCAUUGUGGUGAAACCCCAUCUCUACUAAAAUACAAAAAUUAGCUGGGUGUGAUGGUGGGCACCUGUAAUCCCACUACUUGGGAGGCUGAGGCAGGAGAAUCGCUUGAACCCAGGAGGCGGAGGUUGCAGUGAGCCGAGAUCCUGUCACUGCACUCUAGCCUGGGCGACAGAGAGACUGUUUCAAAAAAAAAAAAAAAAACAAAAAAACCCAAAAAAAACAAUAGAUUUAAAAUACUACAGUUUAGAAUCCUGUUGAGUUCCGCAUUAUUGGGAGCAAAAUCAAAUCAUGGACAUAAAUACGUUGAGAAAAGCAGGAGAGACACAUGACACAAAAUGAAAGUUUCCAUGCUAGAAAUGGACAUGGAUAUAUAGAAGAUGUGUGACAUCCACAAGUCAGAAUGGAAAAGAAAGCAAGACAUAGAAUUUAUAAGAAUAAAACUCACAUAGAGAUAAGAGAAAUGAGCUUUCAUGGUAUCUGAUGUAGGCUUUUGGGAAAUUGCCACCAAAUAUUUUUAAAAUUAGGACACAUUUUCCCAACCAUAAGCAUAAAUGAGUUAGCCUUGAUAUUUGCUUCAUGAAUUGGGUAAAAUUAAGCUGAGGGCCAGAUGUUUUCCAUCUGUGUUUUAGAUUAUGCUAAACAUAAAAUGAUUAGAAAGCACCCAUAUAUGACUGGUUUAACUCUACAUGAAAAAAUCAGAUGACAUUUAGACACUGCCUUAGACUUUAGAAAAUUUUAGUGUAUUUUGAUGUCAGAAUUUUGACAAGUAAUGAAAAUAUUAGAUGAAUAGUUUUACUGUAAAACAAACUUCCAUUUCAUAAUAGGCAUAAUGAAUCUUCAUAAUGCUGAAACAACUUUUUGAAAAGUGAAAGCUGUAGAUUUUCCAAGUGGUAUCAAACUAAGAGUUGGGUUUAUUUACCCUGAAUUACAUUUUGGUAUGAGGUAGACAACCAAAAUGUAUUAGUUAAUGUGGUUUAUUAUGUGUUGUGCAGAUACUACUAUAGUUCAUAUGCAUAGGCUGAUUUAUGAAUUAAGUCUCAAAUAUCCAAUAGAGGAUUAUACUUUAGAUAAUUGCUAAAGACACGGAAAGAAAAGUGCAUAAAGUCUAGAAAGGGAAGUCAUCAAAAUGUCAGCAUGAAACUAUAUCAAUCAUCAUGUACAAAUCUUCAAUUGGUAAUAAGCUGUAAUAGUAAAACAAUUGCGAAACUAUCAAUCCGUAGCUGUUUGAUUACAUCUUUGUUGAACAAAUAUCACUUGUUAAUUAUAGUCAGGAACAUUAAGUUAUUGUAUAAUGUCCAUAAAUUAAUCUGAAACAUUGCUGUCUCUGGCAACAUAGUAGAUUCUUUAAAAAUAAUCAAGGAAGGAGCAACUGACAUCAAGAUCUUUAUACAAAAAUGUGUUGAGUCUGAACAUGAGAGAAAAAUAUACUGUCUAUAUUAAAUAAAUCACAUGCCACACUAAUCAGGUUACCAUUAUAGUGGCCCAAUAAUGAAACAUGUUCUUUUGUCGUAUUAAUCUAAACAUAUAUCUCAUUACUAACAUACAUCUAUCUAGAUAUUUUCCUUAUUUUUUCCUACUCUAUUGAACUAUGUUGGUGCAUGACAUUUCAAAACUGCCCUGGGUCUCAUACUCCUUUAAAGUUCUCUCUAUCAUGCAAACCAGAAGGUCAUGAUAUUUAAUAGAAAAUUAAUAUUGCUUGUUUUGAGUGGCCCUCAAUUUGCGACAUUAGCAAACUAUAAUUACACUUACUAUAACACAAAGCUUAAAGUUUGAAUCUGAUUCUAUAACACAGACUAUUUCCCAGUGAGAAUGGGCAACUUACCUUGACUAGUCAUUAUUUAAUGUGAUGAGCUAAUGCAAGUAAAAGUGGCUUGCAAUUUUAGAGCCCUAAACAACUUACUAGAUGUUUACAUGAAUUUGAAGUCAUAGCUACAGCUAUAACAUUCUGUGAAACAGUCAUAGCAGAAAUGAAAUAAAUAGAAAACACUGAAGAUGUUGCUUUCAACUAAUACUUAAAACCCCACAAUAUUAGAAUAAAAAAUAGUACAGCUUGGGGUAAAAAAACUGACUUUUCUACAAAUGUCAUUGUUUCAAAUAGGUUUCUGCAAGAGGCAUGCUUGGCAAGAUUAAUUUUUUAAUUGGCAUGUCUUGUUUGAUUAAAGUAAAAUAAUUUAAAAGAAUAUACAAUAUACGGCCGGGCACGGUGGCUCACGCCUGUAAUCCCAGCACUUUGGGAGGCCAAGGUGGGCGGAUCAUGAGGUCAAGAGAUUGAGACCAUCCUGGCCAACAUGGUAAAACUCUGUCUCUACUAAAAAUACAAAAAUUAGCCAGGCAUGGUGGCACGCACCUGUAGUCCCAGCUACUCAGGAGGCUGAGGCAGGAAAACUGCUUGAACCCGGGAGGCAGAGGUUGCAGUGAGCCGAGAUGGUGCCACUGCACUGCAGCCUGGCGACAGAGUGAGACUCCGUCUAAAAAAAAAAACAAAAAAACAAAAAAAAAAACAAAAAUAUAGUCAUAAGAUUUAAACACUAGUUGAAACUAGAAAAUAACAUGGAGAUUACAGUUGUAUUUUCUUUAACGUAAUUUACUUUCAUUCAUUACCAGAACUAUUUAAAACUAGUGAUCAGUUAAGAGUAUAUUUGCACAAUUUUUUCUUGAGAAAAGCAGAUAACUACAGUGUUAAUAAAUUCAGAAACACAUGCUUCUAAAUUAACUAAUUUACUGAUAUUUCAAUUUCUCCAUGUUUCCAAGUUCUUGCUCAAAAUGGUUCAAAAACUGUUAAAAUUAAAAUAAUAUCACGAAUUUUAGUAUUUUAAAAGAAUACUGUACAUUACAUUUGCAUGCUAAUAAAACAGUUGCUUUAAAAUCUACAAUGCCUACUGACAUUUGAGGCAAUCAUUAACAUAUUUUCUUCAAUAAGUUUUUUAAACUUAAUUGAAUUGUUUGCUGGGAUCUUUAAGUGAAACCUUGAAUAAAGUUGGUGGAUUAAACUUACUUUUUUAAUGCUGCCUACUUCUUUAAUGUUGUCAGAUUUGCAGUGGUACAAUCCUAUCAGAUUUGCAGUGGUACAAUGAGCAAGCCUUUCAGCUGUACCACGUUAAAGACCAUACUUUUUCAAUUUGCAGGUGCAAUUAAGUAAAACCAUAACAAAGUUAUUUUGUCAUAAGACUUUGUUCUACUUUAAAAAAUUAUAUACAUUUAUUUUGUUUUUCUCUAAUAACCACAGUUAUCUAUCUCCAAUAUCUCAUUUCCUUAGAUAUUAAAUUCCAUAUAUUUAACAACCAAAAAAUUAUAAGAAAACUUUAUCUUCAACACCUCUUCUGUUUGGAUACUAAAUAAAUGAUUGGCUCUGUCAAUAAUAGCUAGUAGACUCAUUUUUAAAUGGCCAUUUUUCUUUCUCUACCAAGGUCAUUCUUUCAGAUGAAAGAAUCAUUUCAAAUUUUGAGUCCAAAGCCUUUGAAAAUUUUCACUCUCUAACAAGGAUUCCUCUUUCUCACCACUUUCCAAAAAUCCUUUUCUGAAUCUAUAGUUGAUCCCAGGGCAUGGUUCAGAUGGGAGUUUCUGUAACUUUUUAGAGAAAGGUGAGAGUUUCUAUAACUUUUCACAUUGCUUUAGACAUCAAAAUGUGUAGUCUUGAUCUAAUGACUUAGAUCUAAUGAUUUUGAUUAAGAUUACAUAUUUAAGUGUAUAUUAAUAUUACUGCCUAGCAACUUUAUCACUAUUGCUUGCAAACUGCCACACCCUUGAAAAUGUAACCCAAACUCCUCUUCCCAGGUGAAGAACCAUGAAGACUCACAUUCUAAUUAGUCAUUAAAUAGUUCCAAUAUCUCUUAUUCUAAGGUAUAUUGCCACUAUGAAUCUAAUAUUCAUUUACUACCUUGUCCCAAGUUACAGAAUAAAAAUGCCAUUUCUUAGGAGUAUAAAAGUAAUUUUCAUCUGAAUUAUGUUGAUAUUUGUGUUUUACUUCGUAUAAGAAUUCAAGAACAACCCUCAAAGCUUUUAAGAACUGAUCCUUCAGUUUGACUUCAAACAAAAGGCAAAGUAAAAGCAGUUUGUGAACUGUGAAAUCCUAUCAAUUUGUACACACUUCAACUAUCAUGAAAAGAUUAUUCGGCUCUAUUAAAAUUUGGCAUUAAUGAUGCUAGCUUAACAUGUUAAUAAAAUUUAGAACAUUUUCUGUUCUUUGCUAAUCUUAAAUCAAGAUUUAACUGCUGAUAAAAGUUUCAGUUACAGGUUUAAAAACUCAAAUAUUAGAAAAUAUCAAGGAGUUAGACACUUGAUAAAACAUUUGUAAACUUCAAAACUUCAACUUUUAGAGAAAGGCGAGGCACCUAGACAAAAAAUACCCUAUUUCCACAUUUCCAAACCAUGAGUAUUCCUGGCUCUUCCCUGAGAAAAUCUUAGACUACUUCAAUGAUUAAAAACAUAAUAAAAUUCAGAUACAAAAUGGAACUAAACGUCCUGGCCUAGCCAGAAAUUCCUGGGUGGUUACUGUGAAAUAAGACUUGUUAAGAUUUCCAUCGCAAGAUUAAAAAGAAAACAAGCAAAACAACGCUGGCUAUCGUGACGGGACUGAAAUACAGGAGUGGCGUCUGGGAAACUAUCUUCUUGGUUCUUUCCCAGGCAAAGACCAACCUGAACAAGGGUCCCGUUUCUCUGUACCUCUCCACAAAGUCUCACCUGUGAACAGAUCCUGGCGCCUCUAAUACCUCUCUUAACACCAGCAUAGUUGUGACCUGUCCCGAGAGUACCAACAAAUAGAAAGCCACAGGGAAUUCGUCAGGUAAAAACAAACUUGGAAGACAAACAGUCUCGGGUGAAUCCUAAGGCCGCAUGAGAAACUCAAAUUGUGAUUGGAAAAUCUUGCCCUACCUCUUUACCACAAAACGGAAUUGCCUGCCUUUGUCCAUUCCUGAACCCAACACAUUUGCCCAGAUCCUUCCAAACCAAAGAAGCCUCCGACACAGGCAGACUAUAGGAACCAUCAAAUUCCCGGGGAAACCCGACCGCUUAGUACAGCCACCCAGAAGAAGAAAAGAUCAAAUGAGACCGGCUCAACGGGGUCUUCCUGUAGUGACCCCUGAGUUAAAGUAUUUAUUUUCACGCUGCAACUGCUGAUCACUUUACAGAGACAUAUCAUGCUGUAGCUCUGCAUGGAGCUGAAGACAAAAGCAACAUUUUUAUUAAUGUUAUAAUUAUUAUAAUUAUCUUUAACAAAGCUAUUAAAUAACCUGUACAAAGCCCAAACCGGUCCUAGCGAAAACCCGAGCACUGUUUCAAAUCUCCCAAGUUCCUUUCUAUUCAGUUCAGCAGCAUUUCCUAUAUACAAGGCCAGACCAGGGUGGUCCCCCGAAACUGUAGGUCUCCCUGACGGUGGGAACGGUUUAGAGUUUGGAACCGCCCUGGCGUACGGCAGAGCUCCCAAUUACAAUCCAAAUGCCCCAGCCCCAACCCUACCUCCCCGCUCCUGGGAACUGGGUCCCUAUGUCCGAAGGCAGCGGAAGUUGGAAGCCUGGCUCCAUUUUGGGAGGCAGGCAACGGAGAGGGUCCGUCUGCUGAGUCUCCCCUCCGCCAGCUGCCCACAGGUCCCCGGAUCUCUCGCAGAGGUGCUGGGAAGGGGGUCCACCUCCGGGAGGGCUCACAGGUCCCGCGCGUCCUCCCGCUUAACCCCGGCCUCAGCGACUUUGAGCUUCUUAUUCUGGUGAGUCUUGACGUGCUUCGCGAGGUGGUCGCUGCGCAUGAAGCGCUUGCCGCACUCGGGACAGGCAAAGCGCUUCUCGCCCGUGUGAGUCCGCAGGUGCCGCUGCAGCUCGUCCGAGCGCGUGAAGCUCUUCCCGCAGAAGAGCCAGUUGCACACGAAGGGUCGCUCGCCCGUGUGCCAGCGCAGGUGCGCCUUCAGGUGCGACGUCUUCCCGUACACCUUGCCGCAGCCCGGCACGUGGCACACGUGCUGCUUCUUCUUCCCCGGCUCCGCCUCGGGGGCGCCGCCCGCCGCCUGGCAGUUGGGACAGCGGCAGCGGCGGCACCUCC